Molecule: ribosomal RNA, 3008 nt
Filed under: Salmonella enterica
Lineage: Bacteria; Pseudomonadati; Pseudomonadota; Gammaproteobacteria; Enterobacterales; Enterobacteriaceae
Also listed under: 1 other name
Description: bacterial LSU rRNA
Rfam family: Bacterial large subunit ribosomal RNA
Source: RNAcentral
GGGUUGUGAGGUUAAGCGACUAAGCGUACACGGUGGAUGCCCUGGCAGUCAGAGGCGAUGAAGGGCGUGCUAAUCUGCGAUAAGCGCCGGUAAGGUGAUAUGAACCGUUAUAACCGGCGAUACCCGAAUGGGGAAACCCAGUGUGAUUCGUCACACUAUCAUUAACUGAAUCCAUAGGUUAAUGAGGCGAACCGGGGGAACUGAAACAUCUAAGUACCCCGAGGAAAAGAAAUCAACCGAGAUUCCCCAGUAGCGGCGAGCGAACGGGGAGGAGCCCAGAGCCUGAAUCAGCAUGUGUGUUAGUGGAAGCGUCUGGAAAGGUGCGCGAUACAGGGUGACAGCCCCGUACACAAAAGCGCAUGUGCUGUGAGCUCGAUGAGUAGGGCGGGACACGUGGUAUCCUGUCUGAAUAUGGGGGACCAUCCUCCAAGGCUAAAUACUCCUGACUGACCGAUAGUGAACCAGUACCGUGAGGGAAAGGCGAAAAGAACCCCGGCGAGGGGAGUGAAAAAGAACCUGAAACCGUGUACGUACAAGCAGUGGGAGCACAGGUUUACCUGUGUGACUGCGUACCUUUUGUAUAAUGGGUCAGCGACUUAUAUUCUGUAGCAAGGUUAACCGAAUAGGGGAGCCGGAGGGAAACCGAGUCUUAAUUGGGCGUUAAGUUGCAGGGUAUAGACCCGAAACCCGGUGAUCUAGCCAUGGGCAGGUUGAAGGUUGGGUAACACUAACUGGAGGACCGAACCGACUAAUGUUGAAAAAUUAGCGGAUGACCUGUGGCUGGGGGUGAAAGGCCAAUCAAACCGGGAGAUAGCUGGUUCUCCCCGAAAGCUAUUUAGGUAGCGCCUCGUGAAUUCAUCUCCGGGGGUAGAGCACUGUUUCGGCUAGGGGGCCAUCCCGGCUUACCAACCCGAUGCAAACUGCGAAUACCGGAGAAUGUUAUCACGGGAGACACACGGCGGGUGCUAACGUCCGUCGUGAAGAGGGAAACAACCCAGACCGCCAGCUAAGGUCCCAAAGUCAUGGUUAAGUGGGAAACGAUGUGGGAAGGCCCAGACAGCCAGGAUGUUGGCUUAGAAGCAGCCAUCAUUUAAAGAAAGCGUAAUAGCUCACUGGUCGAGUCGGCCUGCGCGGAAGAUGUAACGGGGCUAAACCAUGCACCGAAGCUGCGGCAGCGAACGUAUCACCCAAGACAACUUUACGGAGUUGACGAUUGACGGAGCGAAGCGACGUCAAAGCGUUCAUUAAAGUCGAGUUGGCUUAGGGAUACGUUCGUUGGGUAGGGGAGCGUUCUGUAAGCCUGUGAAGGUGUGUCGUGAGGCAUGCUGGAGGUAUCAGAAGUGCGAAUGCUGACAUAAGUAACGAUAAAGCGGGUGAAAAGCCCGCUCGCCGGAAGACCAAGGGUUCCUGUCCAACGUUAAUCGGGGCAGGGUGAGUCGACCCUAAGGCGAGGCCGAAAGGCGUAGUCGAUGGGAAACGGGUUAAUAUUCCCGUACUUGGUGUUACUGCGAAGGGGGACGGAGAAGGCUAUGUUGGCCGGGCGACGGUUGUCCCGGUUUAAGCGUGUAGGUGUGUGUUCCAGGUAAAUCCGGUUCACUUUAACACUGAGGCGUGACGACGAGGCACUACGGUGCUGAAGCAACAAAUGCCCUGCUUCCAGGAAAAGCCUCUAAGCAUCAGGUAACAUCAAAUCGUACCCCAAACCGACACAGGUGGUCAGGUAGAGAAUACCAAGGCGCUUGAGAGAACUCGGGUGAAGGAACUAGGCAAAAUGGUGCCGUAACUUCGGGAGAAGGCACGCUGACACGUAGGUGAAGUGAUUUACUCAUGGAGCUGAAGUCAGUCGAAGAUACCAGCUGGCUGCAACUGUUUAUUAAAAACACAGCACUGUGCAAACACGAAAGUGGACGUAUACGGUGUGACGCCUGCCCGGUGCCGGAAGGUUAAUUGAUGGGGUCAGCGCAAGCGAAGCUCCUGAUCGAAGCCCCGGUAAACGGCGGCCGUAACUAUAACGGUCCUAAGGUAGCGAAAUUCCUUGUCGGGUAAGUUCCGACCUGCACGAAUGGCGUAAUGAUGGCCAGGCUGUCUCCACCCGAGACUCAGUGAAAUUGAACUCGCUGUGAAGAUGCAGUGUACCCGCGGCAAGACGGAAAGACCCCGUGAACCUUUACUAUAGCUUGACACUGAACAUUGAGCCUUGAUGUGUAGGAUAGGUGGGAGGCUUUGAAGUGUGGACGCCAGUCUGCAUGGAGCCGACCUUGAAAUACCACCCUUUAAUGUUUGAUGUUCUAACGUGGACCCGUAAUCCGGGUUGCGGACAGUGUCUGGUGGGUAGUUUGACUGGGGCGGUCUCCUCCUAAAGAGUAACGGAGGAGCACGAAGGUUGGCUAAUCCUGGUCGGACAUCAGGAGGUUAGUGCAAUGGCAUAAGCCAGCUUGACUGCGAGCGUGACGGCGCGAGCAGGUGCGAAAGCAGGUCAUAGUGAUCCGGUGGCUCUGAAUGGAAGGGCCAUCGCUCAACGGAUAAAAGGUACUCCGGGGAUAACAGGCUGAUACCGCCCAAGAGUUCAUAUCGACGGCGGUGUUUGGCACCUCGAUGUCGGCUCAUCACAUCCUGGGGCUGAAGUAGGUCCCAAGGGUAUGGCUGUUCGCCAUUUAAAGUGGUACGCGAGCUGGGUUUAGAACGUCGUGAGACAGUUCGGUCCCUAUCUGCCGUGGGCGCUGGAGAACUGAGGGGGCUGCUCCUAGUACGAGAGGACCGGAGUGGACGCAUCACUGGUGUUCGGGUUGUCAUGCCAAUGGCACUGCCCGGUAGCUAAAUGCGGAAGAGAUAAGUGCUGAAAGCAUCUAAGCACGAAACUUGCCCCGAGAUGAGUUCUCCCUGAGACUUAGAGUCUCCUGAAGGAACGUUGAAGACGACGACGUUGAUAGGCCGGGUGUGUAAGCGCAGCGAUGCGUUGAGCUAACCGGUACUAAUGAACCGUGAGGCUUAACCUUACAACGCCGAAG